CCUACGGGAGGCAGCAGUAGGGAAUUUUCGUCAAUGGGCGCAAGCCUGAACGAGCAAUGCCGCGUGAACGAGGAAGGUCUUCGGAUCGUAAAGUUCUGUUGAAGGGGAAGAAGAGCGGAGAGCGGAAAUGGUCUCCGAUUGAUAUUACCCUUCGAGGAAGUCACGGCUAACUACGUGCCAGCAGCCGCGGUAAUACGUAGGUGGCGAGCGUUAUCCGGAAUGAUUGGGCGUAAAGGGUGCGUAGGCGGCCUGCUAAGUCUGGAGUGAAAGGUACCGGCUCACCCGGUAAAGGAUCUGGAAACUGGCGGGCUAGAGAGCAGGAGAGGGCGGUGGAACUCCAUGUGUAGCGGUAAAAUGCGUAGAUAUAUGGAAGAACACCAGUGGCGAAGGCGGCCGCCUGGCCUGUUACUGACGCUGAGGCACGAAAGCGUGGGGAGCAAAUAGGAUUAGAUACCCCGGUAGUC
RNAcentral lists this ribosomal RNA (464 nucleotides) under uncultured bacterium. RNAcentral's name for it is "partial 16S ribosomal RNA". It matches the Rfam family "Bacterial small subunit ribosomal RNA", at positions 338 to 795 of the family's 1533-position model. The record is from RNAcentral.